RNAcentral lists this long non-coding RNA (4578 nucleotides) under Podarcis lilfordi (Lilford's wall lizard). The record is from RNAcentral. Lineage: Eukaryota; Metazoa; Chordata; Lepidosauria; Squamata; Lacertidae.
ACUUCAGAUACCAUGCAUGAAUAAACUUAGUUGGUCUUUAAGGUGCUACUGGAAGAAUUUUUUUAAAAAAUAAUAAUUUAUUACUUGUACCCUGCCCAUCUGGCUGGUGUCCCACAGCCACGCUGGGCAGCUCCCAACAGAAUAUUGAAAACAUGAUAAAACAUCAAGUGGCGUUGUUCUUUAGUCGUGUCUGACUCUUCGUGACCCCCUGGACCAGAGCACGCCAGGCACUCCUGUCUUCCAGUGUCUCCCGCACUUUGGUCAGACUCAUGUUGGUAGCUUUGAGAACACUGUCCAACCAUCUCAUCCUCUGUUGUCUCCUUCUCCUUGUGCCCUCCAUCUUUCCCAACAUCAGGGUCUUUUCUAGGGAGUCUUUUCUUCUCAUGAGGUGGCCAAAGUAUUGGAGCCUCAGCUUCAGGAUCUGUCCUUCCAGUCAGCACUCAGGGCUGAUUUCCUUCAGAAUGGAUGUUUGAUCUUCUUGCAGUCCAUGGGACUCUCAAGAGUCUCCUCCAGCACCAUAACUCAAAAGCAUCUAUUCUUAGGCAAUCAGCCUUCUUGAUGGCCCAGCUCUCACUUCCAUACAUCACUAUUGGGAAAACCAUAGCUUUAAGUAUAUGGACCUUUGUCAGCAAGGUGAUGUCCCUGCUUUUUAAGAUGCUGUCUAGGUGUCACGGUCCAGUCUACGGGCAAUUGAAGUCCCAGCUGAGGACGUCGAGACUGGGGGUAAGAUGGCAGGGUGGGAGCAGGAACGAGAGUCUAGAAGCCAGGGGUCCAAGGGUCAGGAAGCAGGGAGUCAAGAAGUCGAGGGUCCGAGGGUCAAGAAGCAAGGAAUUUUGAAGUCAAGGGGCCAAGGGUUGGGAAGCAAGAAGCCAAAUGCAGCAAGGCAGGAAACGUGUUGCUGUGGCAAAGAGCGGAAGGGAAAUGCUGACAUUAUAUCCCUUCCUGGCUCUUGCCACCAGGUGCUGUGAGUUACCAAGCGGCCUCACCUAUGUGGCUGCACCUUGCCUCUUCAGAACAAACUUAGGAAGGCCCCAGUCCUGCAAACUGGUCACAGGGCCUGGCUCCUGCACACACUUCUGACACUAGGUUUGUCAUUGCUUUUCUCCCAAGACGCAGGUGUCAUUUAAUUUCGUGACUGCCGUCACCAUCUGCAGUGAUCAUGGAACCCAAGGAAGUAAAAUCUCUCACUGCCUCCAUUUCUUUCCCUUCUAUUUGCCAGGAGGUGAUGGGCCCAGUGGCCAUGGUCUUCAUUUUGUUGUUGUUGAGCUUCAGACCAUAUUUUGCACCCUCCUCUUUCUGCCAUCAAGGUUGUGUCAUCUGCAUAUCUGAGCUUGUUGAUAUUUCUUCCGGCAAUCUUAAUUCCGGCUUUGGAUUCAUCCAGUCCAGCCUUUCGCAUGAUGAAUUCUGCAUAUAAAUUAAAUAAGCAGGGAGACAGUAUACAGCCUUGUCGUACUCCUUUCCCAAUUUUGAACCAAUCAGUUAUUCCAUAUCCAGUUCUAACUGUAGCUUCUUGUCCCACAUAGAGAUUUUUCAGGAGACAGGUGAGGUGAUCAGGCACUCCCAUUUCUUUAAGAACUUGCCAUAGUUUGCUGUGGUCAACACAGUCAAAUCCUUUUGCUUAGUCAAUGAAGCAGAAGUCGAUGUUUUUCUGGAACUCUAGCUUUCUCCGUAAUCCAGUGCAUGUUUGCAAGUUGGUCUCUGGUUCCUCUGCCCCUUCGAAAUCCAGCUUGCACUUCUGGGAGUUCUUGGUCCACAUACUGCUUAAGCCUUCCUUGUAGAAUUUGAAGCAUAACCUUGCUAGCAUGUGAAAUGAGCACAAUUGUGCGGUAGUUGGAGCAUUAUUUGGCACAUCCCUUCUUUGGAAUUGGGAUGUAGACUGACAUUCUCCAAUCCUCUGGCCACUGCUGAGUUUUCCACACUUGCUGGCAUAUUGAGUGUAGCACCUUAACACUAUAAUAUUUUAAAGUUUUAAAUAGUUCAGCUGGAAUAUCAUUACUUCCACUGGCCUUGUUAUUAGCAGUGCUUUCUAAGGCCCAUUUGACUUCACUCUCCAGGAUGUCUGGCUCAAGGUCAGCAACCACACUAUCCAUAUCUUUAUGGAGUAAUUCCUCUGUGUAUUCUUGCCACCUCUUCUUGGUGUCUUCUGCUUCUGUUAGGUCCUAACCAUUUUGGUCCUUUAGCCCCCAUUUCCCUAACUCAGGGGAUGGGACUUCUUCCUCCCAGUUCCCUCCAUGCAAACUUAGGGAAUGGGAUCCGUUCCUGCUCAGUCUCUGCCCCAGAGAUUAAACGGAGCCAAGAACACUCAGAAGCAGUCAUAAAUCAAAGCUUCUCUGUUCAAGCUACUUGGCAGCUGCACAAACGUUCCAGGCAGCCUACUUUCACUUUUAGAAGAAGAAGAAGAAUUUGGAUUUGAUAUCCCGCUUUAUCUCUACCCUGAGGAGUCUCAAAGCGGCUAACAAUCUCCUUUCCCUUCCUCCCCCACAACAAACACUCUGUGAGGUGAGUGGGGGUGAGAGACUUCAGCGAAGUGUGAUCCAGAGGUACUUUAAACAAUUAUAUACACAAGGACCACAGAAAGAAAUUGAUUUAGAUCGAUUUUUGAAAACAAAUGGAUUACAAAAAAUCUCCCAGGAAAAUAAAUUAAUGCUGAACUAUAAAAGAACUGAACAGGAGAUAGAAGGUGCCAUUCAGAAUAUGCAACUAGGUAAAUCUCCAGGACCGGAUGGACUGACCUCUAAAUAUUACAGAUCCUUAAAAUAAUGGUUAGUACAACCUUUGAAGGAAGUCUGUAACGAAAUAAUGGGUGGGAAAAGGGACCAGAGUCGUGGAAAGAAGCGUAUAUUACACUUGUACCGAAAACAGAGACUGAAAAGAUGCAGCUUAAGAACUACUGCCCCAUAUCAUUGCUCAAUGUGGAUUACAAAAUCUUUGCAGACAUUUUGGCUAAAAGACUAAAAAAAGUGUUAAUGGAAGAGAUCCAUAAAGACCAAGCAGGCUUUCUCCCGGGUAGACAUUUGUCUGAUAAUGUGAGAAAUAUAGAAGGGACCAGUUGGUUAAAGGUAUACAGGUCGGAACUAAACAGUACAAAUUGAGAGCAUUUGCAUAUGACUUAGUACUGACGUUACAGGAGCCAGAAUCUAGUACUAAAAGGGUUUUAGAACUGAUUCAAGAAUUUGGUCAAGUGGCAGGAUUUAAAUUGAAUAAGUUAAAAACCAAGGUUUUAGAGAAAAAUUUAACACCGAUUGAAAGAGAGAGGUUUCAGAAUGAGACAGGUUUAACAGUGGUUAAGAAAGUUAAAUAUUUGGGGAUUAACAUGACAGCAGAAAAUGGGAACUUAUUUAAGGAUAACUAUGAAAAAUGCUGGUCUGAAGUGAAAAAAGAUUUAGAAAUUUGGUCAAAUUUGAAGCUUUCACUGCUGGGCUGUAUUGCGGCGAUAAAAAUGAAUGUAUUGCCUAGAAUGUUGUUUUUGUUCCAAACUUUGCAGAUUGUGGACAAAAUGGAUUGUUUCAAGAGGUGGCAGAAAGAUAUUUCUAAAUUUGUCUGGCAGGGCAAGAAGCCCAGAAUAAAAUUUAAAAUACUAACAGAUGCAAAGGAAAGAGGUGGAUUUGCCCUGCCAGACCUCAAACUUUACUAUGAAUCAGCAGCUUUUUGCUGGUUGAAAGAAUGGCUACUUCUUGAAAACACUGACAUUUUGGACUUGGAAGGUUUUAAUAAUGUUUUUGGAAGGCAUGCCUAUUUAUGGUAUGAUAAGGUCAAAGCACAUAAAGCAUUUAAAAACCAUAUUGUCAGGAAAGCGCUAUUCAAUGUUUGGUUAAGAUAUAAGGAUUUGUUAGAAAACAAAACCCCAAGGUGGCUGUCACCAAUGGAAGCGAAAGCCUUGAAAAAGGUCAAUAUGGAGGUCAAAUGGCCGAAAUAUUGGGAAAUUCUGGAACAAGACGGAGAUAGACUGAAAUUGCAGAGUUUUGAAAAACUAAAAAACAAAGUGCGAGACUGGCUUCAUUAUUAUCAGAUAAUGGAGGCAUUUAAAUUGGAGAGGAAAAUUGGCUUCCAGGUGGAAAGAUCCAAAUUAGAAACAGAAUUGUUAGAACCCAAAACUAAGAAUUUGUCAAGAAUGUACAACUUGCUGCUGAAAUGGAAUACUCAGGAUGAAACGGUAAAAUCGGCUAUGAUUAAAUGGGCACAGGACGUUGGACAUAAUAUUAUGUUUGCUGACUGGGAACAGUUAUGGACCACAGGUAUGAAAUUUACGGCAUGUAAUGCCUUAAGAGAGAAUAUUAUGAAAAUGAUAUACAGGUGGUACAUAACUCCAGUCAAGCUUGCAAAAAUCUAUCACUUGCCCAAUAACAAAUGUUGGAAAUGUAAAGAAACUGAAGGUACAUUUUUUCACCUUUGGUGGACGUGCCCAAAGAUUAAGGCUUUCUGGGAAAUGAUAUAUAAUGAAUUAAAAAAGGUAUUUAAGUAUACCUUCCUUAAGAAACCAGAGGCCUUUCUCCUGGGCAUAGUCGGCCAAAUGGUGUUAAAAAAGGAUAGAACUUUCUUUAUGUAUGCAACAACAGCAGCAAGAAUACUCAUUGCAAA